This is a long non-coding RNA of Ostrinia furnacalis (Asian corn borer), 101 nucleotides long. RefSeq lists it as uncharacterized. The record is from RefSeq and is a predicted model, not a curated record. NCBI's taxonomy places the organism in Eukaryota, Metazoa, Arthropoda, Insecta, Lepidoptera, Crambidae. The transcript is spliced from 2 exons.
CAAAUAUUUUUUUUAUUAUUUUUCUUAACUUUAUUUGAUAGUAACAAUUAGGUCUAAAUAGAUUUUAUUGAAAAAAUCAAACAAUUUGUGUCUUGCCAAAU